GGGCCCGUAGCUUAGCCAGGUAGAGUACUGGGCUCCAGAUAUUAAUGCUAGACAUUGGGUCUUAAGACCCUUUAUGGGGAUGAAGUGUAUCUGGAGAGGAGAGACCCAGUGGUCGCGGGUUCGAGUCCCGCCGGGCCCA
This is a transfer RNA of 139 nucleotides. It matches the Rfam family "tRNA". Rfam says of the family: Transfer RNA (tRNA) molecules are approximately 80 nucleotides in length. Their secondary structure includes four short double-helical elements and three loops (D, anti-codon, and T loops). The record is from Rfam.